Molecule: long non-coding RNA, 819 nt
Organism: Odocoileus virginianus texanus
Lineage: Eukaryota; Metazoa; Chordata; Mammalia; Artiodactyla; Cervidae
Source: RefSeq, a predicted model, not a curated record
UCCCACUAAUAUUUUGUUCUCUCUCACCCCUGGCCAACAAAAGAACUUGGAGCCCCUUCAGUUCUCAGAUACAGGCAGUGAGGGCGGGCAGAGGGACGAACCACCAUAUGCCUACCUGCUGCACCGGCUUCCUUAGGCAGCGGCUCCCACUUGCUUCCGCGGAAGAAACAUCACCAGCCGUGGGGGCCGGCCGAAAGAGGGGCCACCGGAAGUGCCUACCGCCUCACCCGCUUCCCCCGUCAGCACCUCGCCGUGGCUACCUCAGAAGAAAUGUUGCCACAGAACGGCUGUGGGCGGCGAAGUCACUGCGUUUACUCAGUUCUCAACAGCCGGAACAUAGCCGCUGUCCGCAGAAAAGAUAUGUGAACAACGUCCAUUGAUAUAUAUGAUGAAUAGCAGCUGAUGGCUGUGACCUGUUAAGACAGGCUAAUGGCAUCUUAGUUGUGGUGACUUGACUAGCUGGCCCCCUACUACAUUUGCAGAUUUGUGAUCAUCUUCUGAGUACUUUAAUACAUGAAGCCCUGCAGAAGACACUCUCAAGAUCAGUGAGGUCACCACAUAUGAAGGUGUGUUUCUGCUAUUGAAUCAGUCAGAAGUUUUGAAGAGUGCUCAUAUGCCUCACAAUAUGCUGAGCUGAAGAUGAUCGGCCAAGUCUUGGCUUCUUUGAGAGCUUAAACCCUUUAAACUCGCUGCUCCUUCCAGCUGGCAGGUCAGCACAGUGAGCAGACACUGCAGGUUUCUGCUUAGUUAAGUUUCCACAAAUGCGCCUCUGCUUAUUCUAGUGAGGAAGGGGGAAGAGUAUCUGCCCCGUGAACAAUU